AUUGAACGCUGGCGGCAGGCCUAACACAUGCAAGUCGAACGGUAACAGGAAGCAGCUUGCUGCUUUGCUGACGAGUGGCGGACGGGUGAGUAAUGUCUGGGAAACUGCCUGAUGGAGGGGGAUAACUACUGGAAACGGUAGCUAAUACCGCAUAACGUCGCAAGACCAAAGAGGGGGACCUUCGGGACUCUUGCCAUCGGAUGUGCCCAGAUGGGAUUGGCUAGUAGGGCGGGUAACGGCUCCCCUAGUCGUCGAUCCCUAGCUGGUAUGAGAGGAUGACCAGCCACACUGGAUCUGAGACCCGGCACAGCGUCGUACGGGAGGCAGCAGUGGGGAUUUUUGCACAAUGAACGCAAGCCUGAUGCAGCCAUGCCGCGUGUAUGAAGAAUGCCUUCGGGUUGUAAAGUAAUUUCAGCGGGGAGGAAGGAAGUUUAGUUAAUACCUUGGCCAAUUGACGUUGCCCGCAGAAGACGCACCGGCUAACUCCGUG
RNAcentral lists this ribosomal RNA (490 nucleotides) under uncultured bacterium. Its description in RNAcentral is "partial 16S ribosomal RNA". It matches the Rfam family "Bacterial small subunit ribosomal RNA", at positions 30 to 507 of the family's 1533-position model. The record is from RNAcentral.